RNAcentral lists this ribosomal RNA (445 nucleotides) under uncultured bacterium. RNAcentral describes it as "SSU rRNA". It matches the Rfam family "Bacterial small subunit ribosomal RNA", at positions 26 to 518 of the family's 1533-position model. The record is from RNAcentral.
AGAGCGAACGCUGGCGGCAGGCCUAACACAUGCAAGUCGAGCGGCCGUAGCAAUACGGCAGCGGCAGACGGGAGAGUAACACGUGGGAACGUACCCUUUGGUUCGGAACAACACAGGGAAACUUGUGCUAAUACCGGAUAAGCCCUUACGGGGAAAGAUUUAUCGCCAAGGGAUCGGCCCGCGUCUGAUUAGCUAGUUGGUGGGGUAACGGCCCACCAAGGCGACGAUCAGUAGCUGGUCUGAGAGGAUGAUCAGCCUCACUGGGACUGAGACACGGCCCAGACUCCUACGGGAGGCAGCAGUGGGGAAUAUUGGACAAUGGGCGCAAGCCUGAUCCAGCCAUGCCGCGUGGAUGAUGAAGGCCCUAGGGUUGUAAAGUCCUUUCGGCGGGGAAGAUAAUGACGGUACCCGCAGAAGAGCCCGGCUAACUCGCGCCAGCAGCCGC